GCUUGGGUAGCUCAGUCGGUAGAGCAUUUGCCCGCGAGAGGCAAAGAUCCCGAGUUCGAGUCUCGGUCCGGACA
Molecule: transfer RNA, 74 nt
Filed under: Schistocerca americana (American grasshopper)
Lineage: Eukaryota; Metazoa; Arthropoda; Insecta; Orthoptera; Acrididae
Description: tRNA-Ser
Rfam family: tRNA
About the family: Transfer RNA (tRNA) molecules are approximately 80 nucleotides in length. Their secondary structure includes four short double-helical elements and three loops (D, anti-codon, and T loops). Further hydrogen bonds mediate the characteristic L-shaped molecular structure. tRNAs have two regions of fundamental functional importance: the anti-codon, which is responsible for specific mRNA codon recognition, and the 3' end, to which the tRNAs corresponding amino acid is attached (by aminoacyl-tRNA synthetases). tRNAs cope with the degeneracy of the genetic code in two manners: having more than one tRNA (with a specific anti-codon) for a particular amino acid; and 'wobble' base-pairing, i.e. permitting non-standard base-pairing at the 3rd anti-codon position.
Source: RNAcentral